RNAcentral lists this ribosomal RNA (255 nucleotides) under uncultured bacterium. Its description in RNAcentral is "partial 16S ribosomal RNA". It matches the Rfam family "Bacterial small subunit ribosomal RNA", at positions 524 to 776 of the family's 1533-position model. The record is from RNAcentral.
UACGGAGGAUGCGAGCGUUAUCCGGAUUUAUUGGGUUUAAAGGGUGCGUAGGCGGCCUGCUAAGUCUGGAGUGAAAGGUACCGGCUCAACCGGUACAGGCUCUGGAAACUGGCGGGCUAGAGAGCAGGAGAGGGCGGUGGAACUCCAUGUGUAGCGGUAAAAUGCGUAGAUAUAUGGAAGAACACCAGUGGCGAAGGCGGCCGCCUGGCCUGUUGGUACUGACACUGAGGCUCGAAAGCGUGGGGAGCAAACAGG